CCCUUAGAUGUUCUGGGCCGCACGCGCGCUACACUGAGCCCUUCAUCGAGUUUACAACCUUGGCCGGUAGGUCUGGGUAAUCUUCUCAAAGGGGCUCGUGCUGGGGAUAGAUUAUUGUAAUUUUUAAUCUUCAACGAGGAAUUCCUAGUAAACGCAAGUCAACAGCUUGCAUUGAUUACGUCCCUGCCCUUUGUACACACCGCCCGUCGCUACUACCGAUUGAAUGGCUUAGUGAGCCCGAGGGACUGUUACACCUAGAGGGUUUUCUCUCCAGGAGCAGCCGGGAACUCGGUCAAACUUGAUCAUUUAGAGGAAGUAAAAGUCGUAACA
Molecule: ribosomal RNA, 330 nt
Filed under: uncultured eukaryote
Lineage: Eukaryota
Description: partial 18S ribosomal RNA
Rfam family: Eukaryotic small subunit ribosomal RNA
Source: RNAcentral